This 472-nucleotide ribosomal RNA is filed under the name uncultured bacterium. RNAcentral describes it as "partial 16S ribosomal RNA". It matches the Rfam family "Bacterial small subunit ribosomal RNA", at positions 28 to 507 of the family's 1533-position model. The record is from RNAcentral.
GACGAACGCUGGCGGCGUGCUUAACACAUGCAAGUCGAACGGAAAGGCCCUGCUUUUGUGGGGUGCUCGAGUGGCGAACGGGUGAGUAACACGUGAGUAACCUGCCCUUGACUUUGGGAUAACUUCAGGAAACUGGGGCUAAUACCGGAUAGGAGCUCCUGCUGCAUGGUGGGGGUUGGAAAGUUUCGGCGGUUGGGGAUGGACUCGCGGCUUAUCAGCUUGUUGGUGGGGUAGUGGCUUACCAAGGCUUUGACGGGUAGCCGGCCUGAGAGGGUGACCGGCCGAAAUGAGAGGGAGAGACGGCCAAGACGGAUACGGGAGGAAGCAGGGGGGAAGAGUGGAGAAUGGGGGAAAGCCUGAUGCAGCAACGCCGCGCGCGGGAUGACGGAGUUCGGGUUGUAAAGCGCAUGUAGUAGGGAAGAAAGGCUGCGGCUUGACGGUACAUGCAAAAAAAGGACCGGCUCACUACGUG